Sorghum bicolor (sorghum) is the source of this 885-nucleotide long non-coding RNA. RefSeq lists it as uncharacterized. NCBI's taxonomy places the organism in Eukaryota, Viridiplantae, Streptophyta, Magnoliopsida, Poales, Poaceae. The transcript is spliced from 2 exons. The record is from RefSeq and is a predicted model, not a curated record.
UACGUCCAUAGACUAAAUCAGAUUUAACUCUUGCCAUACGUCCACAGCCUUACCGCACGCACCGCCGCCUCUCCUACCUGAGUACCUUCUGUCCUCUUUACUUCAACCAGCAAACCACCAUGUCAAAGCCCCAGGACCAGGAGAGGCAAACAACCUCUGUUCGUAGCUUCACGCCACCUCCUCACGCUAGCCUUUGCACUGCGGCCUCCAGCGCUCCCUGCGCUAGCCUUUGCACUGCGGCCUCCAGCGCUCCCUGCGCUAGCCUCUGCUUUUGCGCUGCAUGUACUGCUCCCGAGGAAGCUAUGGCAAGGGGUGCCUUGGCCGAUGAGUGCAAAGGCGGCGGCACCGGUGGACCUGGCUUAUGGCGCGAGCGCUCUUGGCGGCCUGGGGGCACGACAUUGGCUGAUGUCCUCUUCGAUUCUCUCUGAUUUUAUGAUUCGAAAUUUUCUCCAAUUUCCUCUUCCAUCGAUUCGUGUAUGGAUGUAGAAGAAUCUGGAUUGGUUUGGUUCGUUGCUGGGUAUGUGUCAUGCCUGAGUUGGAUACCAGAUAGCUAUGAUCUUUAGUUUGCUGUGGCCUCGAAUCAAUUCGAUAUGUGGAGGGAUUUGGUCUUUCAGAGGAUGCUUUCGGACUACAGAGGGGGAUUAGUCAGGAGGCCAGACGAAAUUAGAUCCAGACGAAAUUUGAGGCUGAAAUUUUGUCUCUUUAAGAAUUGUAUAUAUAUACGGACAGAGAUAUAUCUAUAUGGACAUGUCGGACGGAACGGAUAGAACGUCCGGCAGACUGAAAUUUUCAUCUUUAAAUAUUAGGGAUAGAUGUAUGUAUAUAUAUACUAUUAUUAUUGUAUCAUUUUGUAUCAUUUUGUUCUUGUAUCAUUAUUUUACACUA